This 814-nucleotide ribosomal RNA is filed under the name uncultured Actinomycetes bacterium. RNAcentral describes it as "bacterial SSU rRNA". It matches the Rfam family "Bacterial small subunit ribosomal RNA", at positions 70 to 896 of the family's 1533-position model. Lineage: Bacteria; Bacillati; Actinomycetota; Actinomycetes. The record is from RNAcentral.
AAGGCCUGCAGCUUGCUGCGGGUACUCGAGUGGCGAACGGGUGAGUAACACGUGGGUGAUCUGCCUUGCACUUCGGGAUAAGCUUGGGAAACUGGGUCUAAUACCGGAUAGGACAGCUGUUUAGUGUCAGUUGUGGAAAGUUUUUUCGGUGCAAGAUGAGCUUGCGGCCUAUCAGCUUGUUGGUGGGGUAAUGGCCUACCAAGGCGUCGACGGGUAGCCGGCCUGAGAGGGUGUACGGCCACAUUGGGACUGAGAUACGGCCCAGACUCCUACGGGAGGCAGCAGUGGGGAAUAUUGCACAAUGGGCGGAAGCCUGAUGCAGCGACGCCGCGUGGGGGAUGAAGGCCUUCGGGUUGUAAACUCCUUUCGACAGGGACGAAGCGUAAGUGACGGUACCUGUAUAAGAAGCACCGGCUAACUACGUGCCAGCAGCCGCGGUAAUACGUAGGGUGCGAGCGUUGUCCGGAAUUACUGGGCGUAAAGAGCUCGUAGGUGGUUUGUCGCGUCGUCUGUGAAAUUCCGGGGCUUAACUCCGGGCGUGCAGGCGAUACGGGCUGACUUGAGUGCUGUAGGGGAGACUGGAAUUCCUGGUGUAGCGGUGAAAUGCGCAGAUAUCAGGAGGAACACCGAUGGCGAAGGCAGGUCUCUGGGCAGUAACUGACGCUGAGGAGCGAAAGCAUGGGUAGCGAACAGGAUUAGAUACCCUGGUAGUCCAUGCCGUAAACGGUGGGCGCUAGGUGUAGGGGGCUUCCACGUCUUCUGUGCCGUAGCUAACGCAUUAAGCGCCCCGCCUGGGGAGUACGCCGCAAGGCUA